Molecule: non-coding RNA, 196 nt
Filed under: Gammaproteobacteria bacterium
Lineage: Bacteria; Pseudomonadati; Pseudomonadota; Gammaproteobacteria
Source: RNAcentral
ACUACGCCUCCUUACUGAGGUAUAAAUUAAUUACAUAAAUUAAUUGGGAAGCUGGUGUAAUUCCAGCGCUGCCCCCGCAACGGUAAGCAGACGACUCUGUCGUAUGGAACAGGCCACUGUGUAUUCAUGGGAAGGCCCCCUAACUGAAAUUUUUCAGUCUGCAAGCCCGAAGACCGACCUUAAGUAACUCUAUGAC